CACAUGCAAGUCGAGGGGAAACGACAUCGAAAGCUUGCUUUUGAUGGGCGUCGACCGGCGCACGGGUGAGUAACGCGUAUCCAACCUGCCCACCACUUGGGGAUAACCUUGCGAAAGUAAGACUAAUACCCAAUGACGUCUCUAGAAGACAUCUGAAAGGGAUUAAAGAUUUAUCGGUGAUGGAUGGGGAUGCGUCUGAUUAGCUUGUUGGCGGGGUAACGGCCCACCAAGGCUACGAUCAGUAGGGGUUCUGAGAGGAAGGUCCCCCACAUUGGAACUGAGACACGGUCCAAACUCCUACGGGAGGCAGCAGUGAGGAAUAUUGGUCAAUGGACGAGAGUCUGAACCAGCCAAGUAGCGUGCAGGAUGACGGCCCUAUGGGUUGUAAACUGCUUUUAUAAGGGAAUAAAGUGAGCCUCGUGAGGCUUUUUGCAUGUACCUUAUGAAUAAGGACCGGCUAAUUCCGUGCCAGCAGCCGCGGUAGUACGGAAGGUCCGGGCGUUAUCCGGAUUUAUUGGGUUUAAAGGGAGCGUAGGCCGGAGAUUAAGCGUGUUGUGAAAUGUAGAUGCUCAACAUCUGCACUGCAGCGCGAACUGGUUUCCUUGAGUACGCACAAAGUGGGCGGAAUUCGUGGUGUAGCGGUGAAAUGCUUAGAUAUCACGAAGAACUCCGAUUGCGAAGGCAGCUCACUGGAGCGCAACUGACGCUGAAGCUCGAAAGUGCGGGUAUCGAACAGGAUUAGAUACCCUGGUAGUCCGCACGGUAAACGAUGGAUGCCCGCUGUUGGUCUGAAUAGGUCAGCGGCCAAGCGAAAGCAUUAAGCAUCCCACCUGGGGAGUACGCCGGCAACGGUGAAACUCAAAGGAAUUGACGGGGGCCCGCACAAGCGGAGGAACAUGUGGUUUAAUUCGAUGAUACGCGAGGAACCUUACC
RNAcentral lists this ribosomal RNA (933 nucleotides) under uncultured bacterium. RNAcentral's name for it is "bacterial SSU rRNA". It matches the Rfam family "Bacterial small subunit ribosomal RNA", at positions 52 to 975 of the family's 1533-position model. The record is from RNAcentral.